RNAcentral lists this long non-coding RNA (462 nucleotides) under Brassica napus (rape). RNAcentral's name for it is "long non-coding RNA (BNAP_LNC013701)". The record is from RNAcentral. Lineage: Eukaryota; Viridiplantae; Streptophyta; Magnoliopsida; Brassicales; Brassicaceae.
GGUGCUAGUAAACACUUUUGUGUUUUAGAGUGUGUUUAAUAAUAAGCAGAGAAGAUUAGAGUAAAGAUUAGAGAGAAUAGAGAGAUUCUAGAGAGAGAGAGACUCAAAACUCCAUUAAUUAAUAACUGAUGAGGUUUACAAGUAUUAAUAGAGAGAGCAACAAGGAAAUUCGAAAUGUAUAAGCAUGUGUAGUCAAAUGACAGGCUGGAACUCAUUUUGAAUCACUUGGCUGUGCUUUCUCACAUGCUUGCACUAGUGUAAAAGCAUCCUCUCCUUUACAGCAUCAUACAGGCUGUCAAAGUGCUCCCUUAUCCUUCCUUAUCCUCUUUGGUCGAAAUUCCUCUCUUCUCUUCACUAAUUUACCUUCUCAUCCCAUCAGAUAACUUCCCCAAGUAGUUACUGUGGUUAAACUAAAGUUACCACAGUAAAACUCCAAAGUUACUAUCUGCUCCAAAUCUCUUC